GCCAGCAGCUAUAUCACCCUGCAGAUCUCAACUGGCAGCCCACUGAAGCUCAGCAGCGUUGAGCCUGGUCAGUACCUGGAUGGGAGACCUCCUGGGAAGCUAUGGUUGCUGCUGGAA
This 117-nucleotide ribosomal RNA is filed under the name Lepisosteus oculatus (spotted gar). The record is from RNAcentral. Lineage: Eukaryota; Metazoa; Chordata; Actinopteri; Semionotiformes; Lepisosteidae.